UACGUAGGGGGCAAGCGUUAUCCGGAUUUACUGGGUGUAAAGGGAGCGUAGACGGCAGCGCAAGUCUGGAGUGAAAUGCCGGGGCUCAACCCCGGAACUGCUUUGGAAACUGUGCAGCUAGAAUGCGGGAGAGGUAAGCGGAAUUCCUAGUGUAGCGGUGAAAUGCGUAGAUAUUAGGAGGAACACCAGUGGCGAAGGCGGCUUACUGGACCGUAACUGACGUUGAGGCUCGAAAGCGUGGGGAGCAAACAGG
Molecule: ribosomal RNA, 253 nt
Filed under: uncultured bacterium
Lineage: Bacteria
Description: partial 16S ribosomal RNA
Rfam family: Bacterial small subunit ribosomal RNA
Source: RNAcentral